CUCUCCUCGUUUCCUUCCUUCCGCCUCUUUCUGUGUUUCCCCCGUUCAAACCCAGCCUCUCCUCUCUCUCGUUCUCCCUUCCCCAAUCGAACCGAGCCUCUCUUCAACCCCAGGCUCUCUCUCUCUCUCUCUUUAUCUUUUCCCCAAAUUUUUCUAUUUCCUUCUCUCUCUCUCGCCUCUCAUCUCAAUUCUCAACUCCAGUUCACAUCUCACGCAGAAACAGAAUUUGGAAAUCCUUCCCCGUCAAAGCUCACACACUGUAAUCGUUGGGUCUCAACUUAAGUUUCAAGUCGAGUUCACAUAUUCUCAGACUCUGCAAAUCUUUCUCCUUCACACAGAAUCUGCAAAUCAGUCGGCCUCAACUCUUAUCUCAUCCCCAGUUCCCCUUCAAUUCAGUGCCUGCAUAAUGUGAUUCCUUCCUCUCCACUCCGUUCCAGGUAAAAUGGAGAGUGUGAAGCCUUUCUCAUCUAAUUUGGAUUGAAAAUUGUUCUACAUUGGAAGACAGCAUUUAAUUUCUGAAGUGAAUCAAGCGGUAAUUGCAGGUUACAAUGUGUGCACUACCAUUGGGCUUGUUCCAAUGAUGUCAAGGCCUUGCGUAAAUUUUCCUUGUAGUGUGAUAACUCAUUGGUGGACUACUAAAAAAAGGUAUCUGGCACUCGACCCACAAUGGAAGCUCACCUGAAUAGUUCUCAGAUUGUUAAUGGCCCUGAAGUUUUGGGCAAGUUUGUUGGUGAAACUGAGAAAAAUGUUAGGGGAUCUAUUUGCUGAUGCUGAGAAUGAUCAAAUGGCUCACGGUUGAAGCAGUUCCAAUCCUGGGGUUGGUGACCUCGAGCAUUAUGGCAACUCUUCUGUUCUCAUCAUAAAAAACGGCUCCUUUUUAUAAAGAGAUUAUCAUCAAAGCAUUGCUGCUCAACACCCAAAUCAUCAAAUAUGAGACAAAACAAAUUCUAAUGUUUAAAAGGAAUUCCACGAAAUAAAUAAUGUCUUUAUCAAAUCUUUAAUUCAUUACAGUAAAACCCAAAAAUCUAAAAAGUUUAAUUAACCUUACAUGACCACUCAUGAGGAAGGUCAAGGCAGCAAAACCCAACAAACCCAAAAUAUUCAAAUAAAUCCCACACAAAAAAAUCCAUUUGAAAAAACCUACAAACAAAAUAAUUCACUACUUUUUUAUAAGAAUUCGAACGGAGCUAUAGAACAUACCAAUUUGAAGCGAGAAACCUCGGUGAAAAUAGUUGAGGAAGGCACGUUGAUCUCAAGAAGCAGAGAAAAUUAGGGAUUUUUUCCUGGCUCCAAAUCAUCCUUAGACGCCGUUACUCUUUCCAAACAAAAAACAACCAAAUUGGGGAUUUUUUGGGUGAAGAAAAAAGAGAAAAUUAAAAGAAUGAUCCUUUAAUGUACACAUGCAUUAAAGAUGUAUUGCUCCGAUAAAGAUAAUGAAGAAGAAUGAUCCUUUAAUGUUAAGCUUACUGCUCGUGGAAGAUCUCCUCAAGAAUUCUGCCACCAACUUUAACCAUAUAAGAAAAUAUGGUUGGACAGAAUUGCAUAAGGAAAAUAAGUCAGGAAAGUGAAUUUGUAAGGAGCUCAAAGGCAUUCGAUUUGGUCAUUUACAUACAGCAAUAGCAAAAAAUACAAAAAACUAUACCAUCUCGCUUCGAUCAUCUCCUGCAGGUUCUGAAAGACCACUUGGUUCGCUAGGUGGCCGGGCACAAUGAGAGUUUGGAAUUGGUGGAGGGCAUGGAGCGAUUUUCUUAACUUCCCUGCUGCAGACAAACAUCAAAACCCACAACCAAGUUCACCAAAAAUGCACAGAAAAAAUACGACUACCAAACUCACAAAUUAAUCGAAGUACUCUUCAAAAUCUAGAAGGAAAAAAAAAACUAAAUCUCACAUAAAAAUAUAAAAAAAAACCCAUAAGUUUAAUGACGGAUCCUCUAAAACUCUGAAAUUUAGACGAAAUUUUUUACAAAAGCAUGAAAAAUUAUUAACAUUCAAUUAUAUUAAAUCACUAUGGGGAAUUAAUUUGGUUUGUUUCAAUUAGAGUAUGAAAAAUUUACUAAAAUUCAAUUGUGCAAAUUUACACUUCUAAACACAUAAUAUUCAAAUAAAGAAAAAUUUGAAUAAAAAGGUACUGACAUUUCAACGCCCAUAGCUUGGAUAAAAUGGAAUUCUCAGAAACUCAUGGAAAAUCCUCAAUGAAAUACUUCCAAAAGACGA
Pyrus x bretschneideri (Chinese white pear) is the source of this 2214-nucleotide long non-coding RNA. RefSeq lists it as uncharacterized. NCBI's taxonomy places the organism in Eukaryota, Viridiplantae, Streptophyta, Magnoliopsida, Rosales, Rosaceae. The transcript has 5 exons. The record is from RefSeq and is a predicted model, not a curated record.